CCUUGGCCACCACACCCACCCCUUGUGAAUGUCAGGCAAUGGGUGAUGGGUGUGGUGUCCACA
Cercocebus atys (sooty mangabey) is the source of this 63-nucleotide microRNA precursor. The record is from Ensembl. Lineage: Eukaryota; Metazoa; Chordata; Mammalia; Primates; Cercopithecidae.